This 492-nucleotide ribosomal RNA is filed under the name uncultured bacterium. RNAcentral describes it as "partial 16S ribosomal RNA". It matches the Rfam family "Bacterial small subunit ribosomal RNA", at positions 29 to 507 of the family's 1533-position model. The record is from RNAcentral.
AGUGAACGCUGGCGGUAGGCCUAACACAUGCAAGUCGAACGGCAGCACAGUAAGAGCUUGCUCUUACGGGUGGCGAGUGGCGGACGGGUGAGGAAUACAGCGGAAUCUACUUUUUCGUGGGGGAUAACGUAGGGAAACGUACGCUAAUACCGCAUACGACCUACGGGUGAAAGCAGGGGAUCUUCGGACCUUGCGCGAUUGAAUGAGCCGCUGUCGGAUUAGCUAGUUGGCGGGGUAAAGGCCCACCAAGGCGACGAUCCGUAGCUGGUCUGAGAGGAUGAUCAGCCACACUGGAACUGAGACACGGUCCAGACUCCUACGGGAGGCAGCAGUGGGGAAUAUUGGACAAUGGGCGCAAGCCUGAUCCAGCCAUACCGCGUGGGUGAAGAAGGCCUUCGGGUUGUAAAGCCCUUUUGUUGGGAAAGAAAAGCAGCAGGUUAAUACCCCGCUGUUCUGACGGUACCCAAAGAAUAAGCACCGGCUAACUUCGUG